RNAcentral lists this transfer RNA (62 nucleotides) under Harpalinae sp. 2 ACP-2013. RNAcentral describes it as "tRNA-Thr". Lineage: Eukaryota; Metazoa; Arthropoda; Insecta; Coleoptera; Carabidae. The record is from RNAcentral.
UAAAUUUAUAAUCUAAAGGACAUGUUUUUGUUAAACAGGCGAGUAAAAUUUUUGCCGAAUUC